RNAcentral lists this long non-coding RNA (212 nucleotides) under Musa acuminata (dwarf banana). RNAcentral describes it as "long non-coding RNA (MACU_LNC007542)". Lineage: Eukaryota; Viridiplantae; Streptophyta; Magnoliopsida; Zingiberales; Musaceae. The record is from RNAcentral.
UCGGAAUAAGUAUUCGAAGCUGGAUGUUGAAGCAGUAGAAUGACCAGUGACAGGUCUAGUUCUAGGAUCUUAAGCAACAGAACCUGCCGAACAAGACUCUCGGGGAACUUUAGGAAUCGCUUGCUGGUCGACGAAAACAGGAAUUGUGAAUCUACUGCUUGCCCUUAUGGACAAGUUGUUCCUGAUUUAUAGUCCGAUAACACUCACUUAAC